Sapajus apella (tufted capuchin) is the source of this 111-nucleotide small nuclear RNA. The record is from RefSeq and is a predicted model, not a curated record. Lineage: Eukaryota; Metazoa; Chordata; Mammalia; Primates; Cebidae.
GUGCUCGCUUCGGCAGCACAUAUACUAAAAAAAAUUGGAACUAUACAGAGAAGAUUAGCAUGGCCCCUGCGCAAGGAUGACAAAAAAAAAAAGAAUUAAUAAUAGUAAUAU